GAUGAACGCUGGCGGCGUGCCUAAUACAUGCAAGUCGAGCGAACAGACGAGGAGCUUGCUCCUCUGACGUUAGCGGCGGACGGGUGAGUAACACGUGGAUAACCUACCUAUAAGACUGGGAUAACUUCGGGAAACCGGAGCUAAUACCGGAUAAUAUAUUGAACCGCAUGGUUCAAUAGUGAAAGACGGUUUUGCUGUCACUUAUAGAUGGAUCCGCGCCGCAUUAGCUAGUUGGUAAGGUAAAGGCUUACCAAGGCGACGAUGCGUAGCCGACCUGAGAGGGGGAUCGGCCACACUGGAACUGAGACACGGUCCAGACUCCUACGGGAGGCAGCAGUAGGGAAUCUUCCGCAAUGGGCGAAAGCCUGACGGAGCAACGCCGCGUGAGUGAUGAAGGUCUUCGGAUCGUAAAACUCUGUUAUUAGGGAAGAACAAAUGUGUAAGUAACUAUGCACGUCUUGACGGUACCUAAUCAGAAAGCCACGGCUAACUACGUG
Molecule: ribosomal RNA, 497 nt
Filed under: uncultured bacterium
Lineage: Bacteria
Description: partial 16S ribosomal RNA
Rfam family: Bacterial small subunit ribosomal RNA
Source: RNAcentral